AACGCGUGGGAAUCUACCUUUUGCUACGGAACAACAGUUGGAAACGACUGCUAAUACCGUAUGUGCCCUUCGGGGGAAAGAUUUAUCGGCAAAGGAUGAGCCCGCGUUGGAUUAGCUAGUUGGUGAGGUAAAGGCUCACCAAGGCGACGAUCCAUAGCUGGUCUGAGAGGAUGAUCAGCCACACUGGGACUGAGACACGGCCCAGACUCCUACGGGAGGCAGCAGUGGGGAAUAUUGGACAAUGGGCGCAAGCCUGAUCCAGCCAUGCCGCGUGAGUGAUGAAGGCCCUAGGGUUGUAAAGCUCUUUCACCGGUGAAGAUAAUGACGGUAACCGGAGAAGAAGCCCCGGCUAACUUCGUGCCAGCAGCCGCGGUAAUACGAAAGGGGGCUAGCGUUGUUCGGAUUUACUGGGCGUAAAGCGCACGUAGCGGAUUUUUAAGUCAGGGGUGAAAUCCCGGGGCUCAACCCGGGAACUGCCUUUGAUACUGGAAGUCUGAGUAUGGUAGAGGUGAGUGGAAUUCCGAGUGGAGAGGUGAAAUUCGUAGAUAUUCGGAGGAACACCAGUGGCGAAGGCGGCUCACUGGACCAUAACUG
This 594-nucleotide ribosomal RNA is filed under the name Brucella grignonensis. Its description in RNAcentral is "bacterial SSU rRNA". It matches the Rfam family "Bacterial small subunit ribosomal RNA", at positions 112 to 742 of the family's 1533-position model. The record is from RNAcentral. Lineage: Bacteria; Pseudomonadati; Pseudomonadota; Alphaproteobacteria; Hyphomicrobiales; Brucellaceae.